UACGUAGGUGGCAAGCGUUGUCCGGAAUUAUUGGGCGUAAAGCGCGCGCAGGUGGCUCCUUAAGUCUGAUGUGAAAGUCCACGGCUCAACCGUGGGGGGUCAUUGGAAACUGGGCGACUUGAGUGCAGAAGAGGGAAGUGGAAUUCCAAGUGUAGCGGUGAAAUGCGUAGAGAUUUGGAGGAACACCAGUGGCGAAGGCGACUUUCGGGUCUGUAACUGACUCUGAGGCGCGAAAGCGUGGGGAGCAAACAGG
This 253-nucleotide ribosomal RNA is filed under the name uncultured bacterium. Its description in RNAcentral is "partial 16S ribosomal RNA". It matches the Rfam family "Bacterial small subunit ribosomal RNA", at positions 524 to 776 of the family's 1533-position model. The record is from RNAcentral.